Molecule: ribosomal RNA, 426 nt
Filed under: uncultured crenarchaeote
Lineage: Archaea; Thermoproteati; Thermoproteota
Description: partial 16S ribosomal RNA
Rfam family: Archaeal small subunit ribosomal RNA
Source: RNAcentral
UAACCUAUGGACGGAAAUACCCUCGGGAAACUGAGUAUACUGCCCAAUAAAACUUUAUGCCGGGAAUGGUUUAUGUUCCAAAUGAUUUACCGCCGAAGGAGGGGACGGCGGCCUAUCUUUUUGUGGGGGAGGUAAUGCCCCACCAAAAUUAUUACAGGUCCGGGUUCUAAAAGAAGUACCCCGAAGAUGGUUACUGAAACACGCACCCAGGCCCUAGGGGGCGCAGCAGGCAAAAAAAUUUUGCAUUGUGCAAAACCCCAACAAGGUUAAUCCGAUUGUUUCCUGCUAAAGGAACUUUUUGUCGGUCCAAAAAACACUGAUAAAUAAGGGGUGGGCAAUUUCUGGUGCCACCCGCCGCGAAAAAACCACCACCUCAGGUGGUCAGGAUAAUUAUGGGGCCUAAACCAUCCGCAGCCGGCUUUGUUA